UUGAAUAAACUUGGUCAAGCUGUUGCUGGUCCUUCGGGACAUGUGCACGCUUGCCACCAAUUUUAACCACCUGUGCACUUUUUGUAGACUGGAAAACGUUUUUCGAGGCAACUCGGAUUUGAGAACUGCUGGCGCAAGUCGGCUUUUCUUGUGUUUCUCAGUCUAUGUUUUCAUAUACACCUAAUGUAUGUAUCAGAAUGUAUUGCUAGGCCUUAGUGCCUUUAAAACAAAUA
RNAcentral lists this unclassified non-coding RNA (233 nucleotides) under uncultured Clitopilus. RNAcentral's name for it is "sequence contains ITS1". The record is from RNAcentral. Lineage: Eukaryota; Fungi; Basidiomycota; Agaricomycetes; Agaricales; Entolomataceae.